GUACACUCCUGCGGGAGGCAGCAGUGGGGAAUAUUGGACAAUGGGCGCAAGCCUGAUCCAGCCAUGCCGCGUGAGUGAUGAAGGCCCUAGGGUUGUAAAGCUCUUUCACCGGUGAAGAUAAUGACGGUAACCGGAGAAGAAGCCCCGGCUAACUUCGUGCCAGCAGCCGCGGUAAUACGCAGGGGGCUAGCGUUGUUCGGAUUUACUGGGCGUAAAGCGCACGUAGGCGGACUAUUAAGUCAGGGGUGAAAUCCCGGGGCUCAACCCCGGAACUGCCUUUGAUACUGGUAGUCUUGAGUUCGAGAGAGGUGAGUGGAAUUCCGAGUGUAGAGGUGAAAUUCGUAGAUAUUCGGAGGAACACCAGUGGCGAAGGCGGCUCACUGGCUCGAUACUGACGCUGAGGUGCGAAAGCGUGGGGAGCAAACAGGAUUAGAUACCCUAGUAGUCCCA
This 450-nucleotide ribosomal RNA is filed under the name uncultured organism. RNAcentral's name for it is "partial 16S ribosomal RNA". It matches the Rfam family "Bacterial small subunit ribosomal RNA", at positions 331 to 797 of the family's 1533-position model. The record is from RNAcentral.